This is a long non-coding RNA of Paramormyrops kingsleyae, 869 nucleotides long. RefSeq lists it as uncharacterized. The record is from RefSeq and is a predicted model, not a curated record. NCBI's taxonomy places the organism in Eukaryota, Metazoa, Chordata, Actinopteri, Osteoglossiformes, Mormyridae.
GCGUGCAGCUGGAGUUUCAAAGGAGAAGGUUUCCGUUAGAAAUGUGCCGGGGUUCGGAAUGGACCACAGAAACACCACAUGCAAAAGUUCUUUAACUUUAUAAUAAUGGCUGUAAACGCAGCUGCAGAUAGUUACAUUAUGUUGAAUUUAGUUUGUUUUAGCUGUUAAUGCGGUCUGACAAGCAUUUAGAUGUGAGAAACUAUAAAUCAGAAAGCGACUAACAGUUCCAAAAGAGGGAAAGUCGCGUAUCACUGGCACAUACAGGCGGACGCGAUUAAAGUACGGCCACAAAACUAAAUCAGUAACACUGUGGCCCAGUCUCAACAAACGAUACGUCGUGAAUAAAAUCAGUUUAGCUGGUACUGAAACCGCUUGUUAUCUGUUUCGAGUUCGCAGACACAUAAUCUGGAGUAAGUCCCCCAAAGCCUGGAACCCCAAGCAAGCGGGAAUUCGGAAAAUGAGUUCUCUUAGUCUUUUUUUCCCCAAAUUCAUAUGGAUUAAUAUGAGCUGUCAUCCUUCCUGUGAACUACUCUGUCUUCACUGACUUUUCCUUGGUUAUGGUCUCUUGGCAAGGCUGGAUGUUAUUUUCCUGUAUUGUGUGAUAACCAACAUUCUUCUUUCUACAGUCUUCAGCAGUUUCAUAAUGCUUCGGUACUACUGAUGUCAUAUAAAUCAUAUGCAAAUGGAUGGGGGUAGAGAAAAGGAACAUAAAGAUCAGACGGAAUCAGGCAAGGUGUUGAAACGCACGUUGAUGUCCUGGAAGGUUUUCAUGGUCCCACUCGGCAGGAAGCGCAGAAAGGGAAUGAAAUCAGCAGGAUUACCGCUGCCCGCCACCUGGUUAAACUCGUCACUCAGGUUGACGAAGCUGA